CUGAGUACGGCGGAACACGUGAAAUUCCGUCGGAAUCCGGGAGGACCAUCUCCCAAGGCUAAAUACUCCCUAGUGACCGAUAGUGAACCAGUACCGUGAGGGAAAGGUGAAAAGCACCCCGGAAGGGGAGUGAAACAGUUCCUGAAACCGUGUGCCUACAAGUAGUUAGAGCCCGUUAAUGGGUGAUAGCGUGCCUUUUGUAGAAUGAACCGGCGAGUUACGAUUUGUUGCAAGGUUAAGCGGAAAAAGCGGAGCCGUAGCGAAAGCGAGUCUGAAUAGGGCGCAUAAGUAACAGGUCGUAGACCCGAAACCAGGUGAUCUACCCAUGUCCAGGAUGAAGGUAAGGUAAUACUUACUGGAGGUCCGAACCCACGCACGUUGAAAAGUGCGGGGAUGAGGUGUGGGUAGCGGAGAAAUUCCAAUCGAACUUGGAGAUAGCUGGUUCUCUCCGAAAUAGCUUUAGGGCUAGCCUCGAGGUAAAGAGUCAUGGAGGUAGAGCACUGUUUGGACUAGGGGCCCUUCUCGGGUUACC
This 532-nucleotide ribosomal RNA is filed under the name Listeria monocytogenes. RNAcentral's name for it is "partial 23S ribosomal RNA". It matches the Rfam family "Bacterial large subunit ribosomal RNA", at positions 408 to 940 of the family's 2925-position model. Lineage: Bacteria; Bacillati; Bacillota; Bacilli; Caryophanales; Listeriaceae. The record is from RNAcentral.